Molecule: non-coding RNA, 1636 nt
Organism: Bactrocera oleae (olive fruit fly)
Lineage: Eukaryota; Metazoa; Arthropoda; Insecta; Diptera; Tephritidae
Source: RefSeq, a predicted model, not a curated record
CUUGCGACUGCCACGGGAUUUCUCAAUUAAAAUUCAAAUUGAUGCAAACAAGUGGCCAAGCCCAACUUGCAACUACAAUAGAAACAACAAUUUCAAGUAAUAAAUGAUUGUUGUAUCAUUUCGCGUUAAAUUAUAUUAAGUUUGGUAGCCGCAGCGGUUAAGUCAAGCAAAGCGAAUUCGCAUGUGGCGGUAUGUGUUUAAUUUAAAGCAAUAAUAAUAUACAUAGUAAACAGUUAGCCAUUAUGCGCCAACUCAAAACAUUGUGACCAGCAUUCAAUAAAAAAUAUGAAUGGAUUUGCGAAAAAAUUGGUAAUAAUAAUAAAUGUGAUUGCUAACAAGAUAGUGGAAAAGCAUAAAAAAUGAAAAUUAUGCCAUUCAAUUGGAUAGAAGAUAAAUGCUAGCAGGCGCUAAUAUUAAGAGUACAAGCAAAAAAAUCCAAAAACAAAAUUACAACAUCUCAUUGGUAUAAACCGCAAGACGCUGAUGCUCUGAGUAAACAAGCACAUGCGUUGGCGGAGACCAAGAGAAGGAUACUUGGCUUCAAAAUUUAUUGUACAGAAAAUCACUGCUGGAUAUUGUGGCUAAAGGAGCAAGUGCGAUGUGCAUCAGUAUCAUCGCGGGAAAUAUCUGGAUAUUUGCGCUAGAAAAUUGUGACAACUAUUGAUUUUAAUUUCGCCUUAUCACUGGAAAGCCGCUUCAUUUGAGUGUUAGCUUUUGCGAAAUAUUCUAGAAUAACAAAUUGAGAGAAGCCAUAUGAUAUAUAAGACGUCGAAUGUAGCCGAAAUUAUCCUACUUUGAUAGAUUUAAAAAAAGGAUUUCUGUGCUGAAAGAGACGACAAUAAACAACAACUUAAAUGCUCAUGACUUGAUUACAUAAUAUUAUAUAAUAAUUAAACAUUAAUUUUACUUAUCAGAAAAUUUAAAAAUAACGCAAGCAGAAAAAUUACACGUUUGCCAACACUGGAAACAAAAUCCACAAUCGCGUGUGUGAGAACGAAAUACAUGAGAUCAAACUAGCAAUCAGGCGAGCAUGAAUAAAAGCAGGCAAUUAUUGAUCCUCUUUUUGAUGCUCUUCAUUCAUAUAAUUAUAUGCAUGUAUGGGCACCUGUUAGCUAUCGGUCAAGCAAAAGUGGCUAUGAGCAGCAUUGAGAGAGCUUAACGGACAAUGUGUUCGUCGCGCAAAUUAAAAACAAAAAUGAUGUAAUUUACCAAGCACAACUCUACGUUUCAAAUGUCAAGUCAUACUCAAAUAACAACAAAUAAUAAUAGUUAGUACGGAAAGUUUUAUGUGAAAUGUCCAAACAAUGAAUGAGUUGCAGUAUCAAUUUUCUUUCGCCGUCAUUUGAUUUUUGCUGGUCGCCUGGUAUAAGAUUGCUUAAAGUAUAUGGAGUCUUUGCUUAUUUUGCUUAGAACAAAAACUGCAAAGUUCAAGUGUGUCGGUUAUGUUCUACCAGGCGAACAUGAAUGGAAAUAAGAUAAGUUCGAUAUUCUAAGAGUAAAGGUUUCAGCAAUGGUUUGGAACAAUAAAUAUUAUUUAUAUUUAUUAAUAUUUCCAUAUUUAUGUAUUUAGUAUUCAGUUAUAUACAAAAUUAUUAUACUCAUGGUAAAAAUCAUACGUAAAUAAAUAAAGAAAAAA